This is a long non-coding RNA of Fundulus heteroclitus (mummichog), 6345 nucleotides long. RefSeq annotates it as complement C3. The transcript has 44 exons. Lineage: Eukaryota; Metazoa; Chordata; Actinopteri; Cyprinodontiformes; Fundulidae. The record is from RefSeq and is a predicted model, not a curated record.
UCACCUCUGUUGUUGACCACAGUCCACAGAAACGUCCUAGACGAUCGUCAUGGUUCUGUGGAAGCUUAAAAACCUUUUAUUUAUCCUUCUGUUCUGUGGUUCUCAUGGACGACGUGUUGUGGACGACAUGAGAUUACCUUGGAAUGAAGAAUUUAUAUCGUUUGAGGACUACCUGCGCCACCAUCAAGGAGGAAAUACAAAGCAAACCAUCAGUUCUUCACCAAGGUUCACUCUGGUGGCUCCAGACAUCCUGAGGACGGACAUCCAGGAAAACAUCUACUUACAGGCAGAUGGCGCAUCCAGCCCUGUCGCCGUCUCCAUCGCCAUCUGGGACUUUAGCAAAAGCGUUAUGCUCCUCCAGGACUCUGCUACACUCAAUCAGGCUAAUAAAUACCAUGUUCUCAAGCCUAUACAGCUUUCAUCUGCUCUUUUGAACCGCGAGGAAAAACAGAACAAGUUUGUUUAUCUGCAAUUAAACUUUGCGGAUUUACACUCUGAGGAACGAGUGCUGAUGGUGUCCUUUCAUUCUGGGUAUAUCUUUAUUCAAACAGACAAACCCAUCUACAACCCCGGAGACACUGUUCGUUUCAGAACCUUUGUGUCCACUCCGUUCUUUAAAGCCGUUGACAGCUCCAUCAGUAUAGACAUUCAGAAUCCAGAUGGUGUGGUGGUCAGUCAGCUCUCCAGGACCAGAGCCUUGCAUGGCGUUAUCACAGACACUUUCCCCCUGUCUGAGAUUGUCAAUGAAGGGACAUGGCUAGUGACGGCUAAGUUUGACCACUGGGAGCAGAACACAUUCACCUCCUGUUUUGAGGUGAAGAAAUAUGUUCUUCCUGGCUUCAACGUUACACUGACCCCUAAAAAACCCUUCUUCAGCUUGGAUGACGACGAGCUGGUUGUAGAAAUCUCAGCCAGAUACCUGUAUGGGGAGCCUGUCCAGGGCACGGCUUACGUCGUGUUUGGAGUGAAACUCAAUCAAGAGAUGAAAAGAUUACCUUCUGUGAAGCAGGUGUCAGAUCUGGAUGGAGGAACAGUCAGGCUGACUAUGGAGGAGCUCAGGAGAGCUUACCCUGACAUCAAAGCUCUAGUGGGAAGCUCUGUGUAUGUGAAAGCGUCUGUGCUGACCAAGGCAGGAAGCGAUCUGGUUGAAGCAGAAAAGACUGGGAUAAAAAUUGUGAAGUCCCCGUAUGUCAUAUACUUCAAAGACACGCCAAAGUACUUCAAGCCGGGAAUGCCAUUAGACAUAAUAAUUCAGGUGAGCCAACAUGACGGGUCCCCCGCCCAUAAUGUCUUGGUCAAGCUGACGCAUCUGGCCUCACCACUAACCGUCUCAUCGGGAACCGCUAGAGCCACCAUCAACAUGCCCGUUGAACAACAGCUUCAAACUCUCACUGCAGAGACGGUCCAGGCUGACCUGAGACCAGAUCAGCAGGCCAAGCAGCAGUUUACUGUUCAUCCAUACAGGACCUUUAGUGCGGCGCAGAAGAACUACCUGUACAUCUCCACGGACACCAACACGGCGUCUGUAGGAGAUAGACUAUCCCUGCAGUUCUCCGUCUCUUCGUCUGACAAGUCGCACAGACAAUUCAUCAACCACGUCACCUACCUGGUGCUGAAUAAAGGUAGAAUCAUAAGCGCUAAGCGUCAGGACGUGACGGGCCAGCUGGUGACCAGCGUUGGCUUGUUGGUCACAUCGGAGAUGAUGCCCUCGUUUCGGGUCGUGGCGUUCUACAGUAUUCCCUGGACAGGGCGGGAGGAGCUGGUGUCGGACUCUGUCUGGAUAGACGUGAUGGACAGCUGCGUUGGUGGGCUGAAAGUUACAACAGACUCUGUACGCCCACACUACGAUCCUGGGAAAAACUUUCGCUUCCAGAUACGAGGUGACCCAGGGGCAAAAGUCAGCCUGGUGGCUGUGGACAACGCUGUGUACCUCCUGAACGGAGAGCGACUGACACAGAGAAAGAUUUGGGACGUGGUGGAGCACGGAGACAUCGGUUGUACCCGAGGAGGUGGUCAAGAUGCAACAGGAGUGUUUACUGAUGCGGGACUUCUUUACUCCUCCAGUGGUGGAGUCAAAACCAAAACCCGACAAGCCCUACGCUGUCCAGGCAGCGCCAGAAGGAGGCGCACUGCUGAACUCAUCCAACGUAAAGCACGGCUGGAGAGUCACUACAAGGAGAAGCUGGAGCGGCGCUGCUGCAAAGAUGGCCUCAGGGUCAUCCCAAUGCCGUACUCUUGCACCCGGCGCUCCCUCUACAUCACCGAGGGCCCCGAGUGCAUCCUGGCCUUCCGCUACUGCUGCGCCACUUACAGGGACGAGGUGUUCAACACAGAGAUUCCCACCACCCCUCCACCCAUGACCACUGCUCCCCCAACCACCAUCCUUCCACCGAUCCGUGCUAAUCGUCCCUAUUCUGUUGAUGAGACAUCAGAUUCACAGCGGUGGAAACCUCUCUCUGGCCAAUUGUUUGAAUGGUCUGGAAGUCGACCAGUCGCACGUGAGCGCACCACAACGGGUUUGAAAGGCAUCAGCUUUUCAAAUGCAAACAAAUGGGCACCAGAUCGAGCUCGAGUUGCUGCUGCCGUUCCAGAAGUUGGUCGGGGGGUUGCGCUGCUGGAGGACGAUGAAGAAGAAGAGUGGGAGUAUUUGGAUGAGAAUGAUGUCUAUCUUCGUUCCAAGUUCUACGAGUCCUGGUUGUGGAUGGACGUGAGCUUGCCGAGUGAGCCAGACAAAGACGGGUUGGCAUUGAAGAAUAUGGAAAAUCCUUUACCUGACAGCAUCACAGAGUGGGGCAUUUUGGCCAUCAGUGCAUCACCUCAGACAGGUUUCUGUGUCGCGGAGCCGUACAAUUUCAAAACUUGGAAGCGAUUCUUUGUCGACGUAAAGCUUCCUUACUCUGUGGCGAGGAACGAACAGGUGGAGAUUAAAGCUGUCGUCCACAACUACGGCUACGAUGAGAUGCACGUGAGGGUGGUGCUGAUGAAGACAGAGGGCAUGUGCAGCGUGGCUUUCAAGGACAAACACACCCAGGAAGUGACGCUGCCGGCGGGCUCCUCUGUGGCGGUGCCUUACACCAUUGUGCCUCUGGUGGUGGGCAAGCUUCCGCUGGAAGUAAUGGUGGUUGGCAGAGAUAUGACGGGCGGUGACCGCAUCCAGAAAACGCUGCGAGUCGUGCUGGACGGAGUGCAGAAGACUGAAGUCUGGAGCACAGUGUUGAAUCCGUCUGCUCAAGGAGGAACUCAGACGGUUCGCAUCGGUAGGGCUGAACUGGAGUCAGUCGUGCCAAACUCUGUGCCCGAAACCGUCAUUAAUGUCAGAGGUAAUGUUUUGGCAGACAGCAUCGAUAACUCCAUCAGUGAGAACUCCCUGGCGUCUCUCAUCCAGAUGCCUGGUGGUUGCGUGGAGCAGAACUUGGCCUCCAUCACUCUGCCGCUUAUUGCCACCCUCUAUCUGGACCGGAGCAACAACUGGGAGAGUGUAGGGGUGGAUCGCAAGGCUGAGGCUUUCCGAUACAUCAGGAGAGGCUAUGAGAACCAGCUGGCAUACAGAAAGAGCGAUGGCUCGUACCCCCCCUACAGACGUCAAGGAGCAAGUACAUGGAUCACAGCGUACGUCGUCAAAGUGUUCUCCAUGGCUCACCCCAUCGUUAGUAUCUCCGAGCAACAAGUUUGCGACCCUCUGCUCUACCUGGUGACCAACAAAAUCCGGCAAGGCGUGUACAAAGAGGACAACCCGGUUUAUACCACCACGAUGACUGGUGGUCUGCGUGGUGACGACCCACAAAUAACUCUGACAGCCUUUGUCCACAUUGCAGUUGCCGAAGCCGAGAAGGCAGGGAUUAACUGUGGCAGGCCAGAGGUGGAGGCAGCUAUCAGCUCGACUACCCAGUUCCUGACGAGAGCCCUGCUAAUUCGUGGAAGGAGACCAUACACGGUGGCUAUCACCUCCUAUGCUCUGGCUCUGCAGGGAACACACAACAACAUUCAUCUGUCUUUACUUGAAGCAGCAUCUCCAGAUAAGAGCCACUGGCCUGACAAGGAAAACCACUUGUUCACACUGGAGGCAACUGGCUAUGCUUUGCUCGCUCUGAUAAAGUUGGGACGCAUGGAGGAUGCUGCAGUGCCCUUCAAAUGGCUCAACAAUCAGAGAAGAAGAGGAGGAGGCUUCGGCUCAACUCAGUCCACUAUGGUUGUGCUCCAGGCUUUGUCAGAAUACAUGAUCAACCGGCCUCCUCCUGCUGACCUCAGUCUGAACGUGGACAUCAGGAUGACGGGACGCAAGGAAAUCCGUUACCACUUUAACCCGGACACGGCCUAUGCUGCUCGCUCCUCUAAGUUGCCUGCUGGUAUCGACAUGGACGUUGUGGCUCAAGGGAACGGGGAAGGAAUCCUGGAGGUUGUGACUUAUUACAACCAGCUACAUGAAGUUGCAGAGAAAGCACCCUGCACGCACUUUGAGCUCAGUGUUAAUAUUGAAGAAUCCAGCGAAAAGCCUCCAGCUGAUGCAGAAAAAUCCUUCCAGAUCACAAUUAAAGUGAGGGCUUUGGGACCUAGGGACGUCAGAAUGGUGGUUCUUGACAUCAGUCUCCCCACGGGCUUCACCCCAGAGAAUUCAGACCUGGAAAUGCUCUCCAACUCGGUGGAUCAUUACAUCAGCAACUUUCAGAUCGUGGAUAACCUGAGUGAUAGAGGGUCCCUGGUCAUUCACCUGUUCAAGGUUUCUCACAAAGAACCCGAAAUUCUCAUCUUCAGGCUUCAGCAGACCUUUAAAGUUGGUCUCCUGCAGCCAUCGUCUGUCACCGUUUAUGAGUAUUACAACCCAGAUCACCGCUGCAGUCGUACCUACUCUCCCAGGGAGGACAGGGAGGAGCUCACUCGGAUCUGCGACAACAACGUCUGCCGCUGCACGCAGGGCGACUGCUGCGUCUCAAAAGCCGACAGUGAUAAUUUCCCCAACAAAGAAAGAGAGAUCUUUGCCUGCUCGAGCUUACACCAUGUUUGGCGGGUGAAGGUGCUCAGUGUCACUGAGAGCUACUAUGAUAAAUAUGAGAUGGAGAUUACCCAGGUCAUUAAACUUGGUGUAGAAGCUGGAGUUGAAGUCGGUCAGAAGAGGAUUUUCAUGUCUCAUGGUGGCUGCAGAGAGGGACUCAAGCUAAAAGAGGGCUCCCAGUAUCUCAUCAUCGGUCCGAAAGAGGACCAGUGGACCAAUGACCCUACCAACAACGGGUUCAUCUACAUGCUGGGGAAGGACACCUGGGUGGAGCCCUGGCCAUCAGAUACUGAGUGUUCAAGCAAUGCCAGCCUGCAAAAUAAAUGCAAAAGUCUCACUGACGCUGCAAGGGAUCUGUCUGAGAACGGCUGCAGGCUGUAGUUCAAGCUGAACAACAGCCACACACACUUUUGACCCUAAAAGGGAAAACAAUCGUUCUUUUUUUUAUCCCUGUGAAUCUCUGCAAGGAGGGAAAAAAAUGCAGGUGAAAUUAUGUCUAUCUAUCAGAACAUGACUGUUAGGUUUUCCCGAGCACUUUGAACAUUUAAUUAGACUGGGGAACAACAAUAAACUGCUACAGAAAAAAAAACCCACAAAAACAUACAACUUGUGUCUUUUUAAAGAGAAGCGAUCGAAAACACAAAGCAUUACUCUUUUUUUAAAUAAGUAUUCCACUGUAGCAUUUGAUACUAUAUUUAUUAUUAAAAUGGGUAAACUGUAAGAUAAUAAGGGAAAUUGAAAAACGUUUUUGGCUAAAUUUAGAAGGAUGUGUGCUCAAAUAGCUACGCUAGCUGCUGUAUUGCAAAUGUGGAACAAUAAAAAUAAAUAUUAAGCAAUAAUAUCUCUUCAUCUCUCUUUGAAACUCAACAGUUUCCUUUAUUUCUCUGGCUUGAUUAAGUGAUGGUGAAAUCAGAAGGUUAUUAUGUGUUAAACAACCAUAAUUUUACUAGCAAAACAGGAAGUUUGUGGUCAGACCCUGACUGCCGACUACAGCGACUCAGAUUCUGACUCCUGACUUUGAGGCGGAAUAAAAACCUAAAUGGAUUUUUUUUUCCCCAGAGAAGAGAAAAAUGUAAAAAUAGAAAAUGCUUAAGAACUGAGAUCUGCUGUAAUAUUUAACUUUUUUUCUUGUAUUAUCAAUACUAAUAUUAUUAUUUUUGCCUUACAGUGUCCUCUGAAAUAAAAAUAUCAGUUUUGGUCAGCUGAAGUUAUUUUCGUUGCCUCGGAAUGCGUUUGUGAAUGUUUUAUGUCUCAUAUUUGUAUGAUAACGAUUAAAAUAUUGUUCAGUUUGAUUUUUUUUUUUUCUUGCUUGAUGUGUGAAACCAUGUUAUCUGGUAAUAAAACUGGUCGAAAUU